RNAcentral lists this long non-coding RNA (1688 nucleotides) under Gallus gallus (chicken). Its description in RNAcentral is "long non-coding RNA NONGGAT000034". The record is from RNAcentral. Lineage: Eukaryota; Metazoa; Chordata; Aves; Galliformes; Phasianidae.
UAGACAUAAAGCCUGCUCAAAUGGGUAAAACUGAGCAGCUGCUGGCAGCAAAAUGGCAGCAAGACACAGCAGAGGGUGGUCCAGGUGUCCAGUUGGAACAAAGUCUCUGUGGAAGUGCUGGUCAGGCUGUGCUGCUACACUCCAUGGCUCCAGACAGUUCAGGUUAUGACACUCUCAGCUCCCAGCAAUAGCAUAACACUGCCCAAUGAAUGGCAGCAAUCUUACAACAAUCAAUCUCAUGUGCAGCACUGCUCUACAGCGUAACAGGGGGUGAGAAAUGUAGAGAUAUCACAUAGAAUACAAAUGCAUAGGAAAUAAACCCCAAGGGAGUGAGGGGAAACUCAGCAGUGGCUCCCCUCGCUGACACAAGGUGAUCACAAGACAACCUUCUGCAUGCAGACGCCUCCAGAAAUCGAGGGAAGAAAGUGAGUUUCUAUGGACUUCCUCCAAGUAGGGCAGCAGUUCAGAAAGGCUCGGACAGACCGAUGGAAACCUGAGCCAACGUUGUUCCAUCCAACAGCUCCAAGGGGAAGAUCCCAUGCAAAACGUUUACCAAAACCCCUUUAUCUUCAAGAGCGGGUCCUGGCACAGCGAGAGCUCUUUUCUUAGAAAGAUGGGGCUGUGCUGCAGUCAGCAAGAAGGGCUACAUGCAGCUCGUUGGCAUCUCUCAUGCUGCACCACCUCCAGCACGUGCUGCCUGUGCCUACCACAUCAGACUGAAAGCUCUGCUUGGCCCUACUAAAAAGCUACAAAAGCAGUGAGCGUUAAGCAAUGCCCUCAGCCACCAGGGGAUGAUGCAAGGGACAGGGAUGCUCUGCUCAGUUCUCACUGCCACUCUGAUGCUCUUUCUAGGUCCUUACACAGCAAGGUCUGUGCCUAUACAAGUGAAAACUAAGCCUGCUCCUUUAGAAAGUGAAUCUGUACCCCUGUGAUGGAUUUACAUCGCUUUCACAUGGUCAGUCAGAAAUGGCAUUCAUACACGUGCUCUGGUGCACUCACACAGCCCUGUGGAUGCAGUCAGAAAUGACCACCACAACAAACUUAUCUGCACCUUUUUUUAAUAAAGGCUUCAAUGACUUUUAUUUGUGACCAACAGCCGAUCUUCACUUUUGGAAGGAGAAAGAAAAUCCCUCCAGGAGAGAUCAGAUGCUCACUGCAUCUCCCAGAUGGGCUGGGUUGGCUAUGCUGUGGGUUUUGUCCCCAUAUCAGUCACUAGGAGUUGUAUGUGUGACAGAAGAUUUGGCACAAAAGAUGGGCACAGCCCAACAGGCAGCAACGAGCAAAUAGGAUCUCCAAUUCAUCUCACCCUGCUUAGGCAGUGCUCUGCCUGCACCAGGCUCUGCCCUGACACCACAACCAACCAGACUGUUAUAGGAUGAGGCACAAUCUCAACUCACCAGCUGCACCGUGUCCAAAUGAAGCCCAUCAUGCUCUAAUUGGCAUUUCAGAGGUAAAGGCCGCACGGCAUACGCUGUCCUACAGUCUCUCAGCUCACCUCAGAAUCCAGAUGUCAUUUAUUCCUUCUAACCCAACCGCUGAUCAUUAGCAUAAGCUCGUCUCACACGUGAUUUCACAAGAGGCCUUUUGUCAAACCUACAUUGGCAUUUGUCAGUUUGAAAUUAAGCACAACGCUCACCAACUUGAUACCAAGCCUCCCUCUAAAGCAUAAAUUAACAUUUUAAUGGCGC